Molecule: ribosomal RNA, 505 nt
Filed under: uncultured microorganism
Description: bacterial SSU rRNA
Rfam family: Bacterial small subunit ribosomal RNA
Source: RNAcentral
GAGUUUGAUCGUGGCUCAGGACGAACGCUGGCGGCGUGCUUAACACAUGCAAGUCGAACGGGCUCAUAUUGAAACCUAGUGAUUUAUGAGUUAGUGGCGGACGGGUGAGUAACGCGUGGAAAACCUGCCGUAUACUGGGGGGAUAACACUUAGAAAUAGGUGCUAAUACCGCAUAAGCGCACAGCUUCGCAUGAAGUGGUGUGAAAAACUCUGGUGGUAUAUGAUGGUUCCGCGUCUGAUUAGCUUGUUGGCGGGGUAAUGGCUCACCAAGGCAACGAUCAGUAGCCGGCCUGAGAGGGUGAACGGCCACAUUGGGACUGAGACACGGCCCAAACUCCUACGGGAGGCAGCAGUGGGGAAUAUUGCACAAUGGGGGAAACCCUGAUGCAGCGACGCCGCGUGAGUGAAGAAGUAUUUCGGUAUGUAAAGCUCUAUCAGCAGGGAAGAAAAUGACGGUACCUGAUUAAGAAGCCCCGGCUAACUACGUGCCAGCCGCCGCAGUAAC